RNAcentral lists this ribosomal RNA (1023 nucleotides) under Nectria cinnabarina. RNAcentral describes it as "SSU rRNA". It matches the Rfam family "Eukaryotic small subunit ribosomal RNA", at positions 67 to 1102 of the family's 1831-position model. The record is from RNAcentral. Lineage: Eukaryota; Fungi; Ascomycota; Sordariomycetes; Hypocreales; Nectriaceae.
UAGCAUUAUACAGCGAAACUGCGAAUGGCUCAUUAUAUAAGUUAUCGUUUAUUUGAUAGUACCUUACUACUUGGAUAACCGUGGUAAUUCUAGAGCUAAUACAUGCUAAAAAUCCCGACUUCGGAAGGGAUGUAUUUAUUAGAUUAAAAACCAAUGCCCUUCGGGGCUCCUUGGUGAUUCAUGAUAACUUCUCGAAUCGCAUGGCCUUGCGCCGGCGAUGGUUCAUUCAAAUUUCUUCCCUAUCAACUUUCGAUGUUUGGGUAUUGGCCAAACAUGGUUGCAACGGGUAACGGAGGGUUAGGGCUCGACCCCGGAGAAGGAGCCUGAGAAACGGCUACUACAUCCAAGGAAGGCAGCAGGCGCGCAAAUUACCCAAUCCCGACACGGGGAGGUAGUGACAAUAAAUACUGAUACAGGGCUCUUUUGGGUCUUGUAAUUGGAAUGAGUACAAUUUAAAUCCCUUAACGAGGAACAAUUGGAGGGCAAGUCUGGUGCCAGCAGCCGCGGUAAUUCCAGCUCCAAUAGCGUAUAUUAAAGUUGUUGUGGUUAAAAAGCUCGUAGUUGAACCUUGGGCCUGGCUGGCCGGUCCGCCUCACCGCGUGUACUGGUCCGGCCGGGCCUUUCCCUCUGUGGAACCCCAUGCCCUUCACUGGGUGUGGCGGGGAAACAGGACUUUUACUUUGAAAAAAUUAGAGUGCUCCAGGCAGGCCUAUGCUCGAAUACAUUAGCAUGGAAUAAUAGAAUAGGACGUGUGGUUCUAUUUUGUUGGUUUCUAGGACCGCCGUAAUGAUUAAUAGGGACAGUCGGGGGCAUCAGUAUUCCGUUGUCAGAGGUGAAAUUCUUGGAUUUACGGAAGACUAACUACUGCGAAAGCAUUUGCCAAGGAUGUUUUCAUUAAUCAGGAACGAAAGUUAGGGGAUCGAAGACGAUCAGAUACCGUCGUAGUCUUAACCAUAAACUAUGCCGACUAGGGAUCGGACGAUGUUAUUUUUUGACUCGUUCGGCACCUUACGAGAAAUCAAA